CCUACGGGUGGCAGCAGUGGGGAAUAUUGCACAAUGGGGGAAACCCUGAUGCAGCGACGCCGCGUGAGUGAAGAAGUAUUUCGGUAUGUAAAGCUCUAUCAGCAGGGAAGAAGAAAGACGGUACCUGACUAAGAAGCCCCGGCUAACUACGUGCCAGCAGCCGCGGUAAUACGUAGGGGGCAAGCGUUAGCCGGAUUUACGGGGGGUAAAGGGAGCGUAGAAGGCUGGGCAAGUCUGAAGUGAAAGCCCAGGGCUCAACCCGGGGACUGCUUUGGAAACUGUGGAGCUAGAGUGCUGGAGAGGUACGUGGCAUUCCUCUUGUCGCGGUGACAUGCGUAGAUAUUAGGAGGAACCCCAGUGGCGAAGGCGGCUUCCUGGACAGUAACUGCCGUUGAGGCUCGACCGCGUGGGGAGCACACAGGAUUAGCUACCCGGGUAGUC
This 441-nucleotide ribosomal RNA is filed under the name uncultured bacterium. RNAcentral describes it as "partial 16S ribosomal RNA". It matches the Rfam family "Bacterial small subunit ribosomal RNA", at positions 338 to 795 of the family's 1533-position model. The record is from RNAcentral.